GCAGCCUGAUGCAGCCAUGCCGCGUGUGUGAAGAAGGCCUUCGGGUUGUAAAGCACUUUCAGCGGGGAGGAAGGCGAUGAGGUUAAUAACCUCGUUGAUUGACGUUACCCGCAGAAGAAGCACCGGCUAACUCCGUGCCAGCAGCCGCGGUAAUCAUGG
Molecule: ribosomal RNA, 159 nt
Filed under: uncultured Enterobacteriaceae bacterium
Lineage: Bacteria; Pseudomonadati; Pseudomonadota; Gammaproteobacteria; Enterobacterales; Enterobacteriaceae
Description: partial 16S ribosomal RNA
Rfam family: Bacterial small subunit ribosomal RNA
Source: RNAcentral